RNAcentral lists this ribosomal RNA (406 nucleotides) under uncultured bacterium. Its description in RNAcentral is "partial 16S ribosomal RNA". It matches the Rfam family "Bacterial small subunit ribosomal RNA", at positions 29 to 526 of the family's 1533-position model. The record is from RNAcentral.
AUUGAACGCUGGCGGCAGGCCUAACACAUGCAAGUCGGGCGAGCGGAGGACGGGUGAGUAAUGUAUGGGGAUCUGCCUGAUGGCGGGGGAUAACUACUGGAAACGGUAGCUAAUACCGCAUACCAUCAGAUGAACCCAUAUGGGAUUGGCUAGUAGGUGAGGUAACGGCUUACCGAGGCGACGAUCCCUAGCGGGGCUGAGAGGAUGAUAAGCCAAAAUGGGACAGAGGCACGGCCACGAGGCCUACGGGAGGCAGGAGGGGUGAAGAUUGCACAAUGGGAGAAAGCCCGAUAGAGCCAUGCCGCGUGGAGGAAGAAGGCCUUCGGGUUGUAAAGUACUUUCAGUCUUGAGGCGUUAGCGACAGAAGAAGCGCCGGCUAACUCCGUGCCAGCCGCCGCGGUAAUAC